CCAGACAGAGGAGUGUCUCUUAGGACAUCUAUGGGCCAGGCAGAGGAGUGUCUGUUAGGACGUCUAUGGGCCAGACAGAGGAGUGUCUGUUAGGACGUCUAUGGGCCAGACAGAGGAGUGUCUGUUUGAAUGUCUAUAUGGCAGACAGAGGUGUGUGUGUAUCUAUGGGACAGACAGGUGUGUGUGUGUGUCUAUAGAUCAGACAGGGGUGUGUGUGUGUGUGUGUGUGGGUGGUGUGUCUAUACAGCAGACAGAGGUGUGUGUGUGUGGUGUGUCUAUACGGCAGACAGAGGUGUGUGUGUGUGGUGUGUCUAUACAGCAGACAGAGGUGUGUGUGUGUGUCUAUAGAUCAGACAGGGGUGUGUGUGUAUGUGUGUGUGGUGUGUCUAUACGGCAGACAGAGGUGUGUGUG
Long non-coding RNA from Oncorhynchus keta (chum salmon), 412 nucleotides. RefSeq lists it as uncharacterized. Lineage: Eukaryota; Metazoa; Chordata; Actinopteri; Salmoniformes; Salmonidae. The record is from RefSeq and is a predicted model, not a curated record. The transcript has 3 exons.